This 686-nucleotide long non-coding RNA is filed under the name Salmo salar (Atlantic salmon). RNAcentral describes it as "lncRNA (ENSSSAG00000087558.1)". The record is from RNAcentral. Lineage: Eukaryota; Metazoa; Chordata; Actinopteri; Salmoniformes; Salmonidae.
GUAAAUGUAAGAAAGGAUUCAUUUCGCAACACCUACGGCUUCCACUAGAUGUCAACGAUCUUUAUAAAGUUGUUUGAAGCGUCUAUGAUAAACAGAGAGCAAAUUAGAAUCCAAGGAAGUUGACAUGUCAUCACUUCAUUUUUUUGCGCCUGCGCAUAAAUCUGAGAAACGUGAGUUUUGUCUUCAUUGUUUAUCUCGACAUAGGAUAGGUUGUGUGAAAAUAUUACUGAUGUUUAACGUUAAAAAUGGACCAAAAGAUUAAUGCUAAACAACAUUUGACAUGUUUGAACGAACAUAAAUAGAUUAUUUACUAGGUUUUUUUAGCUUUUCGGGCGUGAUUUUACAGUCCCCCACCAUGUUUUGUGGGAGCAUAAUGAACGCUAAGUACUUGGUGUUAUUUGGACAUAAAUUAUGAACUUUGUCAAAAGAAACCACAUUUGUUCCGGACCUGGGAUGCCUUCCGGACCUGGGAUGCCUGUCUUCUGAUGGAGAUAAUCAAAGCAGGAGGCGUCUCAGGACUUGGCAGACGGGCAGGAUUUGUUCCGGAAGGGUCUUGGAGAAGAUUAGGAUGUCAUCGAGAUCGGAUGUCCUAGCUGUGUCUGAAUCUUGGCUUAGGAAGUCCACCAAAAACUCUGAAAUCUUCAUCCCUAACUACAACGUUUUCAGACAAGAUAGAACGACCAAAG